This 419-nucleotide ribosomal RNA is filed under the name uncultured Gemmatimonas sp. RNAcentral's name for it is "bacterial SSU rRNA". It matches the Rfam family "Bacterial small subunit ribosomal RNA", at positions 355 to 774 of the family's 1533-position model. The record is from RNAcentral. Lineage: Bacteria; Pseudomonadati; Gemmatimonadota; Gemmatimonadia; Gemmatimonadales; Gemmatimonadaceae.
UGGGGAAUCUUGCGCAAUGGCCGAAAGGCUGACGCAGCGACGCCGCGUGUGGGAGGACGCCCUUCGGGGUGUAAACCACUGUUGCCCGGGACGAACAUCCUCUUUCGAGAGGACUGACGGUACCGGGUGAGGAAGCACCGGCUAACUCCGUGCCAGCAGCCGCGGUAAUACGGAGGGUGCGAGCGUUGUCCGGAAUCACUGGGCGUAAAGGGCGCGUAGGCGGCGCGGGAAGUCAUCGGUGAAAGUUCAGGGCUCAACUCUGAAUCGGCCGGUGAUACUCUCGUGCUCGAGCACUGUAGAGGCAGGUGGAAUUCCGGGUGUAGCGGUGGAAUGCGUAGAGAUCCGGAAGAACACCGGUGGCGAAGGCGGCCUGCUGGGCAGUAGCUGACGCUGAUGCGCGACAGCGUGGGGAGCAAACA